UACGUAGGAGGCGAGCGUUGUUCGGAAUUAUUGGGCGUAAAGGGUGCGUGGGCGGCCUGACAAGUCUGAUGUGAAAUCCCUGGGCUCAACCCAGGGCCUGCAUCGGAAACUGUCGGGCUUGAGUAUGGGAGAGGUGAGUGGAAUUUCCGGUGUAGCGGUGAAAUGCGUAGAUAUCGGAAGGAACACCUGUGGCGAAAGCGGCUCACUGGACCAUUACUGACGCUGAGGCACGAAAGCUAGGGGAGCAAACAGG
Molecule: ribosomal RNA, 253 nt
Filed under: uncultured bacterium
Lineage: Bacteria
Description: partial 16S ribosomal RNA
Rfam family: Bacterial small subunit ribosomal RNA
Source: RNAcentral